GGGCCGCUAGCUCAGUCGGUUAGAGCACAGUCCUGAUAAGACUGGGGUCCUUGGUUCGAUUCCAAGGCGGCCCACCA
Molecule: transfer RNA, 77 nt
Filed under: Chloroflexota bacterium
Lineage: Bacteria; Bacillati; Chloroflexota
Also listed under: 1 other name
Description: Chloroflexi bacterium (groundwater metagenome) tRNA-Ile
Rfam family: tRNA
About the family: Transfer RNA (tRNA) molecules are approximately 80 nucleotides in length. Their secondary structure includes four short double-helical elements and three loops (D, anti-codon, and T loops).
Source: RNAcentral